ACCCGCAUAGUAAAAAACUGUAUCACAAACAGUCCAUACGAUACAUCUACGGACUCAGAAAAGGUAUAAUUUUACAUAAAUUCGGGUAUCCUUAAUCAAGAGUGUAGAUUAUCUCGCAGCGAAAAAAAGAAAAAAAAAUCAUAGCGAAGGCUACCGCUACGGGUCUAGCACGAGAUCUCUACCGGAGAUAUCCGUUCCCCUGCCCGUAGGACUUCCAGGAUUGUGACAACGACGAUAUUUAGCCGGGCAGGAAAAAAUUGAAUCCGUCAACAGCAGCAAGCAGCACUGCGUAAAUGUGGAAUAUAACGCAACAACCGUUUACAGGACCCCCGGUCAGGAUAAGGAAAAGAAUUCGUUCGAUGUGCUUGUCCGUCUUACCGGAUGGCAGUGUUAAUCGAUUCCAAAGAGGAGGAUGGAGAAGAAAUAAGUCAUCAUCUGCCGGAAACUAAAAACACUGGAACCAUUCGCAGGAUCAGUAAGGCCCAUUAUACUGUUAUUCCACGGUGUUUCCUGGCAGGAUCAGGCAAUUACGGUGGUGGCCUACACUGGAUAAACGUAGUGAAAAUUAUUACAAAACCAAUGAUGUUUUUCUUAUCGAGAGUGGAUCGAAUUUGUGAUGUAAAAUAUGUGUAAUUGCAAUUUUAAUGAAAAUAAAUUAUAAUGGGGUGGUAAAAUAAUGGCUUAUGACAAACAUUAUUUAUUGGAAUUCUUAAACUCUAAAAACAUUUGUAUAUGUGUGCGUGAUUUAUUCACACACGGUUCCGAAUACCGUUUUUGUAACGUUGGAAGAACGAUUUGUGAAAUCUUUUCAUAACUUUUACUAUAAAUGUUUAGAUACAAGAGAACUUUAAGGAAAACUAUAGCAAUAACAGUUCAAUGCAGAAAAAACGUUUCUGGUCGCGGCUUGUUUACAUUAUCUCAACUGUUUGUAGAACAGUUUCUCCAUAUAAGUGUUUGAACGGUUUUUAACAAUUACAUAACCUAACGACAUAUUAAAAAGACUGUGAAUUCGGAAUUCACACUUCAACCAAUGUUUUCCACAGUUUGAAUAAUCGUUUGCUAAAAGUUUUUUUACGCUUAAUCCAAUCGUCGUUUGACUAUUUCACAAAUCGUAUGGUUACAAUUCUUAUUUA
This is a long non-coding RNA of Uranotaenia lowii, 1133 nucleotides long. RefSeq lists it as uncharacterized. Lineage: Eukaryota; Metazoa; Arthropoda; Insecta; Diptera; Culicidae. The record is from RefSeq and is a predicted model, not a curated record. The transcript is spliced from 4 exons.